GAGCAUGUGGUUUAAUUUGAUGAUAUGCGUAGUGUACCUUACCUGGGCUAGAAUGCGAGCGCUAUCCUGAGAGAUCAGGAGUUCUUCGGACGUGAAGCAAGGUGCUGCAUGUCUGUCGUCAGCUCGUGCCGUGAGGUGUUGGGUUAAGUCCCGCAACGAGCGCAACCCAUAUUGUUAGUUGCCAGCACGUAAAGGUGGGGACUCUAACGAGACUGCCUGCGCAAGCAGAGAGGAAGGAGGGGACGACGUCAAGUCAUCAUGGCCCUUACGCCCAGGGCUACACACGUGCUACAAUGGUGGAUACAGAGGGUAGCUACCCAGUAAUGGGAUGCCAAUCUCGGAAAGUCCAUCUCAGUUCGGAUUGAGGUCUGCAACUCGACCUCAUGAAGUUGGAAUCGCUAGUAAUCGCGCAUCAGCCAUGGCGCGGUGAUACGUUCCCGGACCUUGUACACACCGCCCGUCAAGCCAUGGGAGUUGGGUAUACCUGAAGAUGCUUGCUGCGAGGCGCUGUUUAGGGUAGA
This 521-nucleotide ribosomal RNA is filed under the name uncultured organism. Its description in RNAcentral is "bacterial SSU rRNA". It matches the Rfam family "Bacterial small subunit ribosomal RNA", at positions 935 to 1466 of the family's 1533-position model. The record is from RNAcentral.